CCGGACCGAACGCCGAAUCCUGCCCGCGGUCCUGGUGUCCCCUCCGAGUCGUCACCACGGGCAGGAGCGGGGGACCCACCUCCACCGGCUGGCGCCACGACACGGCGCUGGCCUAGGGGUGAAGUCCAUCGCGUGAAGGUCGCGCUAUGGACCGGGCAGCCCAGCCCGAACCCGACAGCUCACCUCGCAGGCGUACGGGAAGGAACG
Non-coding RNA from Frankia sp., 207 nucleotides. The record is from Rfam. NCBI's taxonomy places the organism in Bacteria, Bacillati, Actinomycetota, Actinomycetes, Frankiales, Frankiaceae.